Molecule: long non-coding RNA, 758 nt
Filed under: Danio rerio (zebrafish)
Lineage: Eukaryota; Metazoa; Chordata; Actinopteri; Cypriniformes; Danionidae
Description: si:ch211-153o21.2 (ENSDARG00000097719.3)
Source: RNAcentral
CAGCUGAAGAGGAAGACAUCAUAUAUAAUGUGCAUGAAAAAAACACCACUUCAUGCAUGACAGCUCAGAGGUCACUUUAAAAUAUCACAGGAUGUUCUGGGUUCUGCGGGAUCAGAUGGAGCAGCAGGUGCAGGUGUGGUCAGAUGCUUCUGGACGGGAACAUAAUCCUGUAGCUUCCUCACAGCUUUACUGCAGAAAUCUGCUGCUUCUUCACGACUGCUGCCAUCAAACUGCAGUCGGAUCAGACGGCUCUCUCCCUUACAGAUUCACAGAACAACGAAAAAUGAAAGACGAGGAGGCGGGGAAAUGCCUUUAGGACAGCACGAGCACAUGAGGAUCCUCCUGUGUCUGACGCCUGGAAGCUCUGGGCAUUAAGCAGAGAAAAGCCCUCCUACAAACAGAAGAAAACAGGAGCACACAUCAUCAUUAUCCAGCAGAGACUGAUUUAAUAGGAUUAUAUCAGGCUGAAAACACAUCAUAUAAGCAGAACAGCAUGAACCUGCCAUCAGCAGCCUCCUCCAGGGUUUCCAUUAGAACAUAACAGAGAAUGGUUCUGUAGUUUCUGCCAAAACCAUGAAUUGAGCGAUCAAUUAAUGUUUUACACAUCUACAUUUUAAUCUUCUAGAGAAAAUGUUUUUUUAUUAAUGCAAAAGCUACAAUGCAAAUGCAGGAAUGCUAUGCAUGUGAAGUGUGCUUGUGUAUAUACAGUUGAGGUCAGAAUUAUUCACCCCCUUUUAAUUUUGAUUUUCUUUUUUAAA